GGACAUUGGGUGAAAGCGGAAUCAAAAACAAACCGGGUGAGGAAGAGGGCCUUAGGGGUGUAAAAUUCUUUUAUCGGGGAAAAUUAUGACGUUAAUAAACGAAUAAGCCCCGGCUAACUUCGUGCCAGCAGCCGCGGUAAUAAAAAGAGGACUAGUGUUUUUGGUUAUUUGGAGGUGUACCGCCCCCGCAGGGGGAAUUUUUUGUCAGGGGUAAUAUCCCGGGGCUCAACCCCGAAACUACCUUUGAUACUUUCAGUCUCGAGUCCGGGAGAGGUGAGUAAAUUUCGUAGUGGAGAGGUGAAAUUUGUAGAAAAAAAGAAGAACACCAGUGGAGAAGGCGGGUCACUGGCCCGGUAGUGGCGGUGAGGUGCGAAAGAGGGGGGAGCUUGGAGGUUAGAUACCUUUUUUCCACGCGGUCUC
RNAcentral lists this ribosomal RNA (420 nucleotides) under uncultured marine bacterium. Its description in RNAcentral is "partial 16S ribosomal RNA". It matches the Rfam family "Bacterial small subunit ribosomal RNA", at positions 366 to 806 of the family's 1533-position model. The record is from RNAcentral.